This 988-nucleotide small RNA is filed under the name Drosophila virilis. Its description in RNAcentral is "GJ26759". Lineage: Eukaryota; Metazoa; Arthropoda; Insecta; Diptera; Drosophilidae. The record is from RNAcentral.
AUGUCUAUAACUGUUUGUGUAGCAUUCGAAUGUAGAAGUAAAAAUCGUUAUAUAUUUUAAGGCUUUUUAAGAAAACUUCAUGCUAAUUGAGGAGAAAGAUUCAAAAAAUGGAAUUCAAAUAAAAACAGCUUCCAGGAUCCCCUAUCCAAAAGAUGAUUUAUUCUUAACAGCAACAAGUAACGUGCUAUUUUCUCCACUUGAAAGAACAACAAACGACACGAUGCUAAGCAAAGACAUAGAGCCUGGUUUAUAAAUGUAUGUUUAUAUGUUGUCUCGCUUUAAACUUCUGUUUUCGUACCCGACCUUCCUAUUAUAAUAAAGUACACCUUAAAUUAAGAUCGUGCAUAUGCUUCGAUUCUCAAAUAAUCGUACAAUAUGAAUUUUAACGUUAACAUGGACAAUAAGAUCGUUUGCUACAGGUUGGCAGCACUGCCAGCUGGUAAGCCCAAAAAGAGUGAAUGGUUAUUGGAAGAUGAAAAACUCGCAUAUAUUUAAAAUCAGAAUUCAUGGAAAAAUGGAAAAGCAUCGAACGCCUUAAGUAAUUUCUCAAAUUUAUUAAGGAGCUUCGCAUCUCUUGUAACUACACAAGAAAAGGAAAGGAAAAGCGAACUUUGUCAAAAGACUGAGUAGACUUGAUGCCAGAGCUGAAUGCAUUGGGCCCGUCAUGUAAGGCUGACGAAGGCUAUGGUAGAAUUGGAGACAAUCAAUAGAGAAGAUUGCAGCACAUAAAAUGGUGAGAGGACCAGCUCUCAUCGCCCUUGUCAUCAAUCUUUACAAGAUCUUGAUCAUGCCUUCCAAGUGAUUUUUUACUAGAAUUUUGAAUUUCAGAUUAAGAUAAAAUUAAAAAAAAAAAUAGAUAGCUGAUGUGCCCAGAACAUCAUUGGGCACAAACGACGCCUCUCUUUGGGAGAAGACAGUCUUCAUAGAUCUCAAGGAUAUGCGCGAAGUCUGUUCAUAUCGGCUGAGAAAACAUCUUGCGCAAGCACCU